CUUAUUUAUCAAAAUUGUCAUUAUUUUAUGGCAAUUUGCUGUAAGAUUGCGAAAAAUUUAGUGGACUAUAUUGUCAGCAUGAUAUAAAUGAACUUUGGCUCUCCCAUAGAUUCAAUACUGACUUCUGAUGCUGUCAUCAAGUAUAGUUAAUGCAGUCUUCACAAAAAAGAAAAAAUAUUAUGCCCCUGGUUAAAAAAAAUUGUUUCUCUCUCAAAUUUUCAUUAAUAUUAAAUAUUCAAAUGAAAUAUUUCAGCAAAUAUGAUAAAAAACAAUAUAGUGUUAUUGAACACACAUACUUGUGGAUCUACCAGGACAAACUAUACAGGCAUUUAGGCCUAACGUGGUUGUAUGUGGCAGUCGUGUAAGUUCAAAUGGGAAUGCGAAAUCCUUUGAUACAGUAACUGACAGCAACAACAGUUUAAUCAAACCAUAGAUCUUUUAUUGAGAGAUAUUUCACAUAAGUAUUUUCAGAGGACAGAUACCUUUUUCUUUUUGUGUCAAUGAUGAUCUAUAAAAACUGAAAUGAUGAUUCCGACUUAAAUUUCGAUUACACUUUUUCAGCCUAUCAAUACAAAAAAAUAUUGGAGUAUUUCAAUAUUUUUUGAUAUAUGUAGCAGAAGUGAUUCUUGCUCCUCCAGCUAGACUGAUUCCUGUAGCUUCUGCCAUUCUAUCUGGUGCCUGACACCACAUGAAGACCGAUUAUUCUUCAACUGCCCAGGUGAAAUUUCCAAGACCGACUAUCUGAUCUUUACCCUCCUUCAAGAAUGUUGAUUAUUAUUUUUUCUUAUUUUGUAUGCCAAAGUGAUCAAAUAACUCUUUUGAUUUAUGGAUUAUUGUUUAACUCUGUACUUGUAAUUAAAUCACAGUUUGAUAUAUAUCAUUUGACAUUAUAUAUUUUAUUUCCCCUCUUUUCUAAAUGUCUUCAAAUUCUAGACAUUAUAAUAAAAAUAACAAUAAUUAUUUUAUUGAGGGUCUCUUCAGAUCUUGUAUACUA
RNAcentral lists this long non-coding RNA (994 nucleotides) under Androctonus crassicauda. The record is from RNAcentral. Lineage: Eukaryota; Metazoa; Arthropoda; Arachnida; Scorpiones; Buthidae.